CGAGGAAAACCGUGUACUAUUAGCCAUGGUCAACCCCACCGUGUUCUUCGACAUUGCCGUCGACGGCGAGCCCUUGGGCCGCGUCUCCUUUGAGGUUGGAUGGCAAGCAUGUGGUGUUUGGCAAAGUGAAAGAAGGCAUGAAUAUUGUGGAGGCCAUGGAGCGCUUUGGGUCCAGGAAUGGCAAGACCAGCAAGAAGAUCACCAUUGCUGACUGUGGACAACUCGAAUAAGUUUGACUUGUGUUUUAUCUUAACCACCAGAUCAUUCCUUCUGUAGCUCAGGAGAGCACCCCUCCACCCCAUUUGCUCGCAGUAUCCUAGAAUCUUUGUGCUCUCGCUGCAGUUCCCUUUGGGUUCCAUGUUUUCCUUGUUCCCUCCCAUGCCUAGCUGGAUUGCAGAGUUAAGUUUAUGAUUAUGAAAUAAAAACUAAAUAACAAUUGUCCUCGUUUG
This 449-nucleotide long non-coding RNA is filed under the name Homo sapiens (human). RNAcentral describes it as "HSALNT0122041". Lineage: Eukaryota; Metazoa; Chordata; Mammalia; Primates; Hominidae. The record is from RNAcentral.